Caretta caretta (loggerhead turtle) is the source of this 1498-nucleotide long non-coding RNA. RefSeq lists it as uncharacterized. NCBI's taxonomy places the organism in Eukaryota, Metazoa, Chordata, Testudines, Cheloniidae. The record is from RefSeq and is a predicted model, not a curated record.
AAAAAAACAAAACAAAACAGGUAUUCCAGAAAGCAUCGUUUCAAGUUGGAUAUGGCAUGUGUGCUGCUUUAAAUACUGGUCUCAAAUGUCUCUUGGGAAGACCCAACAACAGCUGUGGCUUAGAAGGUGAAAUGGCAUCUUUUUCUAACCAGGACGUAUCAUCUUGAGCUUACCAUGAGAAGUCUGCAAACUAUGAACACAUUUUUUUCUAGCUACAUAACAGUUAUAUUUUUAACAUGGUUUUAAUGACGGAUUAAGGGGAGAAAACUGAGUAAUGAAGGAAGAUUCAGUAACAGCCUUCUUCUCCCUUCCCAGCAACGCUAAGCACAGGAUAAGAACAUACUAUACAGCGAAGACUGGAGUUUAGCAUUUCUACUUCCUGCUGUUUUUCCUGAUAUUAACCAGCUGCAAAAAAGAGCCACUGGAGACUGAAAUUUCUUAAAACAGGACCUCAAAAUCUGUCCUCGGUCUGGUUCUAGUCAAUAUCUUCAAAAAUUAUUUGGAUAAUGGCAUAGAGAGUAUACUUAUAAAGUUUAGGAACAAUACCAAGAUAGGAGGGGUAACAAGUGCUUUGGAUGACCAGAUUAGAAUUUGAAAUGAUCCUGACAAGCUGGAGAAAUGGUCUGAAAUAAAUAGGAUAAAAUUCAAUAAGGACAAAUGCAAAGUAUUAUAUUUAGAAAGGCAUAAUCAACUGCAUAAAUAUAAAAUGGGAAAUGACUGCCUAGGAAGGUGUACUGCAGAAAAGGAUCUGGAGCUUAUAGUGGAUGACAAACUAAAUGAGUCAACAAUGUAAUACUGUUGCAAAAAAAGCGAACAUCAUGCAGGCAUGUAUUAGCAGAAGUGUUGUCAGCAAGACACAAGAAGUAAUUAUUUCAUUCUACUUAGCACUGAAAAGGCCUCAGCUGGAGCACUGUGUCCAGUUCUGGGCACCAUACUUCAGGAAAGAUGUGGACAAAUUGGAGAAAGUCCAAAGAAGAGCAACAAUAAUGAUUAAAGGUCUAGAAAACGUAACCUAUGAGGAAAGAUUGAAAAAAAUGCAUCUGUUUAGUGUGAAGAGAAGAGAAGAUUGAGGGUGGGGACAUAAUAGUCUUCAAGUAUGUCAAAGGUUGCUAUAAAGAUGAGAGUGAAAAAUUGUUCUCCUCAUCCACCUAGGACAGGACAAGAAGUAAUGGGCGUAAAUUGCAGCAAGGGAGAUUUACGUUAGACAUUAGGAAAAACUUCCUCACUGUAAGGGUGUUUAAGCACUGGAGCGAACUUCCUUAGGAGGCUGCGGAAUCUCCACCAUUGGAGGUUAGACAGAUACCUGUCAGGGAUGAUCUAGACAACAUUAAAUCCCGCCUCAGAACAGGGGACUGAACUAUAUGACCUAUCGAGGCUCCUUCCAGUCCUACAUUUCUAUGAUUCUAUGCCAUGGUUUUAUUCACUCAACUGGUAACAUAAUAAAAAUAUUUUUAUCUUCUGUUCCCAAAGUACUCAAAAUCUAGGGAAGUGUUAAGUU